RNAcentral lists this ribosomal RNA (405 nucleotides) under uncultured bacterium. RNAcentral's name for it is "partial 16S ribosomal RNA". It matches the Rfam family "Bacterial small subunit ribosomal RNA", at positions 360 to 774 of the family's 1533-position model. The record is from RNAcentral.
AAUAUUGCACAAUGGAGGGAACUCUGAUGCAGCGACGCCGCGUGAGCGAUGAAGGUCUUCGGAUCGUAAAGCUCUGUCCUUGGGGAAGAAGGCGAAAGCUUGACGGUACCCAAGAAGAAAGCCCCGGCUAACUACGUGCCAGCAGCCGCGGUAAUACGUAGGGGGCGAGCGUUGUCCGGAAUUACUGGGCGUAGAGGGUACGUAGGCGGCUAUAUAAGUCAGGUGUGAAAUACCAGUGCUUAACACUGGAAUUGCAUUUGAAACUGUGUAGCUUGAGUGCAGGAGAGGAAAGUGGAAUUCCUAGUGUAGCGGUGAAAUGCGUAGAGAUUAGGAGGAACACCAGUGGCGAAGGCGACUUUCUGGACUGUAACUGAUGCUGAGGUACGAAAGCGUGGGGAGCAAACA